UAGGGAAUCUUCCGCAAUGGGCGAAAGCCUGACGGAGCAACGCCGCGUGAGUGAUGAAGGUCUUCGGAUCGUAAAACUCUGUUAUUAGGGAAGAACAAACGUGUAAGUAACUAUGCACGUCUUGACGGUACCUAAUCAGAAAGCCACGGCUAACUACGUGCCAGCAGCCGCGGUAAUACGUAGGUGGGAAGCGUUAUCCGGUAUUAUUGGGCGUAAAGCGCGCGUAGGCGGUUUUUUAAGUCUGAUGUGAAAGCCCACGGCUCAACCGUGGAGGGUCAUUGGAAACUGGAAUACUAGAGUGCAGAAGAGGAAAGUGGAAUUCCAUGUGUAGCGGUGAAAUGCGCAAAGAUAUGGAGGAACACCAGUGGCGAAGGCGACGUUAUGGUCUGUAACUAACGCUGAUGUGCGAAAGCGUGGGGAUCAAACAGG
Molecule: ribosomal RNA, 429 nt
Filed under: Actinomycetes bacterium
Lineage: Bacteria; Bacillati; Actinomycetota; Actinomycetes
Description: Actinobacteria bacterium partial 16S ribosomal RNA
Rfam family: Bacterial small subunit ribosomal RNA
Source: RNAcentral